GGGGAAAUAAUAUAAGGGCUAGUAUCCCGUGUUUGCAUCACGGGUGUUAGGGUUCGAGUCCCUAUUUCUCCA
Molecule: non-coding RNA, 72 nt
Organism: Triticum urartu
Lineage: Eukaryota; Viridiplantae; Streptophyta; Magnoliopsida; Poales; Poaceae
Source: Rfam